This 99-nucleotide Y RNA is filed under the name Saimiri boliviensis boliviensis (Bolivian squirrel monkey). RNAcentral describes it as "Y RNA (ENSSBOG00000004516.1)". It matches the Rfam family "Y RNA". From Rfam's summary of the family: Y RNAs are components of the Ro ribonucleoprotein particle (Ro RNP), in association with Ro60 and La proteins. Lineage: Eukaryota; Metazoa; Chordata; Mammalia; Primates; Cebidae. The record is from Rfam by way of RNAcentral.
GGCUGGUCUGAUGGUAGUGGGUUAUCAGAAUCACAACACUAAUGUUGUUUCACUAAAGCUGGGAUACAACCCCUGACUCCUGCAUUUAACUAGCUUUUU